UAUCAACUGACACGCCCAAAUCCUUCUCCUCGGGGCUGCUCUCAAGCCUUUCUCUGCCCAACCUGUAUUUGUACUUGGGCAUACUUCAAGCUGUGGAAAGAGUUACCUCUUCCUUCAUCAAAAGACUUUGCAGAGAUUUUUGUGCCAUAUCUUUCCCUGCUGACUGCACAGCAGAGCAAAAAGGACAUAGCUAGAGGAAAAGAUACCUGGCAAGAUGUCCGUGCAAUGAAAUGACCCUUGGGGGUAUCACCUUUCCUGUGUAGCCACAAAUACACAUUAUAGGAGACCUUCUGCUUCUUCCAAGUAGAUGGAGAAAAUCUUUUACUUAUGUACACAUUGCAGACUCAGAAAUGAGGUGUUUUUCUUAAGACAACAAAAGCACAGGCAAACAACAACAACAAAACACCGCAACGUGCAAAAACUUAAAAUUAAUUUUAUCCUCGUACAAUAUGUGAAGUAAUUGAUAUGAAUGAUUGAAUUUGCCCAAAUGUGGAAUAAAGUCCUGUAACAGAAAUAUCAUUUCCUGGAAUGUAAGAAAUGCUUUUCAGCUCAUCGGGCCUCACGUACCUGACACAGCACAACUUAAAGGUAGACAAAUAAAUUGAUAUAUUGGAUUUCUGCACAGCGUUCAGUGCUGGUUCAGAGUGAUAAGCUGUGGCUAGGGUCAGCCCCAUAGCUAGUUGCUGAUUAAGACAGUGAGCAAGAGGAGUGCUGUUGUAUGAAUUCUUAAGACUGAACUCCGCUCCUUUAAUUUCCUAUGCUGGUGAACGCUAUAAUUAUCUGUCUUAAACAAACUGAUUCUGAACUAACGCAGUAUACCAAUGCACAUCCAAAAUAUGAUCUGUAGAAGUCUUAAGUUCAGGACUUAGGGAUGAGAGGUGGGAAGUACAUAGGGUGAAUGAAGACACAGUGGUAGAUUGGGGUGAACAAUAGGAAGGAAAAGGAAGGAGAUAUGAAUAAACUCUACAGGACAUACAGGAAAUUCCAAUCAUCUACAAGGAAGCAGAAUUGAAGCAUGUUACAUUUGCUGUUAAUUUUUAUAAUGAUACCACUUCUGUAAACAAGCUACUACAUAAUGUGGUUGUAUCUUCAGGUUCCUGUGAAGGAAAACAGCAUGAUUGGUUCUGCAAAGAAGCCCAAUUAAAUUUUACAAUAAUAUUUUAUAAAGAUAUUUUAUAAUUAUCAUUUUGCAAAAAUGAAGAUGACUGAUAUUUUAUGUUUAUUUAGUGACAAAAUAGGUCUCAGGAUAUUGUGAAAGUUACUUUUGGGUUUUUUUUUUUGGUUGUUUUUUUGUUUGUCUUUUUAUUUACAGGUUUCUAUUAAGUAUAGAUGAAUGAAAUAUGCACCUCCAUGAGCUACUGACAAAUAAUAGGGAAGCAUAAAGAGGAUGAGAACUUUGUUAGUUCCAAGAAAUUAAAAUAAAAUACUUUAAAAGUAGGGUGUAGUUUGCAAAAUCUCUGUACUGAUAUCUCAGUAUUACAAAAUUAGAUUACACCAAAAUAAAUUAAUGUAGCAAACUCC
Molecule: non-coding RNA, 1521 nt
Organism: Coturnix japonica (Japanese quail)
Lineage: Eukaryota; Metazoa; Chordata; Aves; Galliformes; Phasianidae
Source: RefSeq, a predicted model, not a curated record